This 279-nucleotide unclassified non-coding RNA is filed under the name plant metagenome. RNAcentral's name for it is "partial contains small subunit ribosomal RNA, internal transcribed spacer 1, and 5.8S ribosomal RNA". The record is from RNAcentral.
UUUCCGUAGGUGAACCAGCGGAGGGAUCAUUAAAGAGUCAAGGAAUUCGGCCCCGAUCUCCGACCAUAUGUUUAACUACCAUGUUGCGUUGGCGGGCCCGUCCCUCGACCGCCGGAAGAAUGAGGUCGACCCCACGGCUAGCACAUUCCCGUCUGUGGCCCCUUCAAUUUCUUGAUCAAGUAUGAUGUCUUAGUUAAAAACUUAAUAAUUAAAACUUUCAACAACGCAUCGCUUGGUUCUGGCAUAGAUGGGGAACGCAGCAGAUCGGAAUAGCACACC